This 324-nucleotide ribosomal RNA is filed under the name uncultured eukaryote. RNAcentral describes it as "partial 18S ribosomal RNA". It matches the Rfam family "Eukaryotic small subunit ribosomal RNA", at positions 1470 to 1796 of the family's 1831-position model. The record is from RNAcentral.
CCCUUAGAUGUCCUGGGCUGCACGCGCGCUACACUGAUGUGUCCAGUAAGCACCUAACCUCUUCCGAAAGGGACGGGUAACCUUUGCAAAGCACAUCGUGAUGGGGAUAGAUUAUUGCAAUUAUUAGUCUUGAACGAGGAAUUCCUAGUAAGCACAAGUCAUCAGCUUGUGUUGAUUACGUCCCUGCCCUUUGUACACACCGCCCGUCGCUCCUACCGAUUGAAUGUUCCGGUGAGCUCUUCGGACUGCGCGGUCUGCAGUUUCUGCGUUCCGUGCGGAAAGUUGCGCAAACCUUAACAUUUAGAGGAAGGAGAAGUCGUAACA